RNAcentral lists this ribosomal RNA (432 nucleotides) under uncultured bacterium. RNAcentral's name for it is "bacterial SSU rRNA". It matches the Rfam family "Bacterial small subunit ribosomal RNA", at positions 91 to 518 of the family's 1533-position model. The record is from RNAcentral.
GGCGACCGCGCACGGGUGAGUAACGCGUAUCCAACCUUCCCCAUAGUAGAGGAUAGCCCGGCGAAAGUCGGAUUAAUACUCUAUGUUGUACAACGAGGACAUCUGAAUUGUACCAAAGAUUCAUCGCUAUGGGAUGGGGAUGCGUCUGAUUAGGUAGUCGGCGGGGUAACGGCCCACCGAGCCUACGAUCAGUAGGGGUUCUGAGAGGAAGGUCCCCCACAUUGGUACUGAGACACGGACCAAACUCCUACGGGAGGCAGCAGUGAGGAAUAUUGGUCAAGUGGGCGCGAGCCUGAACCAGCCAAGUAGCGUGCAGGGAAUGACUGCCCUAUGGGUUGUAAACUGCUUUUAUCAGGGAAUAAAGUGAGGCACGUGUGCCUUUUUGUAUGUACCUGAUGAAUAAGGACCGGCUAAUUCCGUGCCAGCCGCCGC